GGGAUAGCUCAGUUGGUAGAGCAUCGGUCUCCAAAACCGAGUGUCGGGAGUUCGAGCCUCUCUUCC
This 66-nucleotide transfer RNA is filed under the name Xylanibacter rarus. It matches the Rfam family "tRNA". From Rfam's summary of the family: Transfer RNA (tRNA) molecules are approximately 80 nucleotides in length. Their secondary structure includes four short double-helical elements and three loops (D, anti-codon, and T loops). The record is from RNAcentral. Lineage: Bacteria; Pseudomonadati; Bacteroidota; Bacteroidia; Bacteroidales; Prevotellaceae.